AACGAACGCUGGCGGCGUGGAUAAGACAUGCAAGUCGAACGGGACUAAAUCUGUAGCAAUACGGGUUUAGUUUAGUGGCGAACGGGUGCGUAACACGUGGGCAAUCUGCCGAGAAGUGGGGAUAGCUCGCCGAAGGACGAAUUAAUACCGCAUAUGAUCAGUGAAGACAUCUUCACGACAUCAAAGCCGGGCGAACCUGGCGCUUCUUGAUGAGCCCGCGGCCAUCAGCUAGUU
This 234-nucleotide ribosomal RNA is filed under the name uncultured bacterium. Its description in RNAcentral is "partial 16S ribosomal RNA". It matches the Rfam family "Bacterial small subunit ribosomal RNA", at positions 29 to 250 of the family's 1533-position model. The record is from RNAcentral.